AAGAAGUUAGUUUAAGAAAAACAUUAAAAUGUCAAGUUAAAAUUAUUAAUGAUACUUCUUA
RNAcentral lists this transfer RNA (61 nucleotides) under Oecleopsis sinicus. RNAcentral's name for it is "tRNA-Asp". The record is from RNAcentral. Lineage: Eukaryota; Metazoa; Arthropoda; Insecta; Hemiptera; Cixiidae.